Molecule: long non-coding RNA, 2469 nt
Organism: Acinonyx jubatus (cheetah)
Lineage: Eukaryota; Metazoa; Chordata; Mammalia; Carnivora; Felidae
Exons: 5
Source: RefSeq, a predicted model, not a curated record
GGAGUAGCGUUGCUGGAUUCAGGGUUGUAGGUGGCUUGAAUAAAAUUCUGGUGGGGUUCAGCAGUAGGCUCUGAUAGGUUCAGCUGUAGGGUCAGACGAGCAUUGCUGAUCCAGCGGUCUGGGGCUAUUUGAGUACCCCUUCAAUAGCAUGUGGGGUGGUAACAUAUAGCUCUUGCCCCAUGGCUAGCCUGUCUGCAUCCUUGACCAUAGUGGCCACCGUGGCAAUAAUUUUUAAGCAUGGGGGCCAUCCAGCGGCCACCGUGUCCAGCUUUUUAGAGAGAUAAGCUAUGGGUCUUUUCCAGGGACCUAUGUACUGGACAAGGACCCCUUCUGCCACCCCAUCUUUCUCGUCUACAUACAGGUAGAAGGGCUUGGUUAGGUCAGGCAACCUGAGAGCCGAGGCAGACAGCAAGGCCUGUUUAAGGUCAUUAAAGGCCUUGUUCAUGGCCUCUGUCCAUUCAAAAUUUUGUUGGUGCCUGGUGGCCUCAUAGAGGAGUAUGGCCAUCUCGGCAAAACCCGGAAUCCAUAAUCGACAGAACCCUGCCAACCCCAGGAAUUCGUACCUGAUGGACGGUUUGCGGCUGUGGGAUCCUCAGGACGGUUUCCUUCUGCGCAUCCGUCAACCAUCUUUGUCCAUCCUUUAAUUUGUACCCCAGGUAGCUCACCUCUGCUUUGCAGAUUUGGGCCUUUUUGGCUGAGGCCCGGUAUCCUAGAACCGCUACAGUCUGGAGUAAGUCCUUGGUGCCUCGCAGGCAAGUGUCCUGGUCCUCUGCCGCCAGCAGGAUAUCAUGUACAUAUUGCAAUAAGGUCAAAUGAGGGUGCUCAGAACGGAACUCACCCAAGUCUUCGUGUAAGGCCUCAUCGAAGAUGGUUGGACAGACUUCCGAGCUUCCACCUGUAUUCGUUCUCUCUUCGGUGGUGAAGAGAACCUGCAAGAGCUGCUGACAGUCAUCCCAAGUAGGCUGGUGGGUAAAGAGAACAGUAUCUAAAAGCCCAAUUAAAUCUUUAGGGUUAUCGGAGAACUUUGCAUUUUGAGUUCUCCAAUUAUAUAAAUCACUGGUGGAGAACGGCCAAUAUAACAUUGGUUGUUUUCCAGACUCGUCAGGAGGCCCCAUGGCGCGGAGGGGAAGGGCGGUGGAGUCGGCCGGCCCCAUAUUUGAGGGUGGGGCCGCCCGGUGGGUCCAUCCAUGUGUCCCUGCUGCUGGCCCACGCACAGGAAUUCCUUCGUCAGGGAGGGGUGGUGCCCCUCCUGCAGCCCCUGGUGCUUCCAAUGGAGGGGCAGAAGGGAGAGGGAGAGCCUGGUAGGGCAGUGGAUGAAUCAGGUCCUCCGGAGAGGAAUCCUGCAAGACCAGAUAAAGGGGCGUUUUGGCCUUUGUGUCAGUCUCCUUCUCGGCUUUCCGCAGGGCUAGAAUCUUGGUAGGUCCUGUUUUGGAGGGUAAGAAUGGUUUUAGCCAAGAAGGGGGGUUUUCAAUCAUAUCCUGCCAGACCAGGAUGUAGAGCACCUGGUCAGGGUAGCCAUCUGGUUUGUCCUCGAAGAUUACAGCCUUGACCUGCAAAAUAAUAGGUAGGUGGAAAGUUCCUUCUUGGGGCCAUCCCACGUCAAAAGUUGGCCAUUCUGACAUGCAGUAAGUCUGAAAUUUCCCUUUUCUUAUGUCUGUGCUCAAAUUAUGAGCCCUUUCCUUAACGUCCAAGAAGUGGGAGAGCAUAAGAGACAGGGUGGUUUGGGUCCGCCCCAUUUCAAUCCACACCAAGACACAAACAGUUAUGACGAUUAACAAGGACACAAUAACACAGACAAACGUUCCAGUGCGGCCGCAGAGACAAAACAGAAAGUAAAACGAAGGGCUGGCUGUCCAUAAUGGCAGCCGGCCCUCCUCACAGAUGAGGACUUUGUCCUCCUGGCAGGGGCAAGGGACGUCUCCCAAGACCCCCGGUCGACGGCUCGCCAGCGCGUCCGCUUAAGUCAAUGCCGACCCAAAGACAGUUUGGAAUUCCUACAGGUACUUUGAGGCUUUAUUAUUAGUUGUGUAAAACUCAGGGUUGUUGUGUCCUCUUGAUGAAUUGAUCCCUUUAUCAUCUAAUCUGGUGUUAGCUAUUUGCCCUACCUACCUCAUGUCUGUUAUGGAAAAAGAACAAAAGAACAGUUUGGAAAGUAUACAGCAAACAGAAGUGUCCUUUCUAGCAAUGAAGCAUGAUGGAACAGGCACUCAGUUAAGUCUGAAAAAUAAGACUGCAUGUGAAGAAUUUUGAAACUAUAGCCCCACGACCUACUUGCAGGCAGGAGUUCUGAGACAGAGAAGACCAUGUGAAGACAGAGCAGGAAGAGCUGAGGCCACAAGAUGAGACUGACAACCAGAAGCUGGAAGAGGCAAGGAAGGGACUCCACCCUCGGGCCUCCAGAGAGGGCUCAACACCUUGACUGCAGAUUUUUGGCCUACAGAGUUGUAAGAAUAAAUUCCUAUUGUUUGA